GAUGAAGAACGUAGCGAAAUGCGAUACUUGGUGUGAAUUGCAGAAUCCCGUGAACCAUCGAGUCUUUGAACGCAAGUUGCGCCCGAAGCCAUUAGGCCGAGGGCACGCCUGCCUGGGCGUCACACGUCGUUGCCCCCCCAUCUACUCCUUCGGGAUUGCGGGGGGCGGAUGAUGGCCUCUCGUGCGCCUCGUCGCGCGGUUGGCCUAAAUGCCAAGUCCUCGGCGACGCACGCCACGACAAUCGGUGGUUGCGAAACCUCGGUUGCCUGUCGUGUGCGGUCGUCGCGCAUCGAGGGCUCGAAAAAAUUGCCGGGCUUCGGCUCGACUUUCAACGCGACCCCAGGUCAGGCGGGGUUACCCGCUGAAUUUAAGCAUAUCAUAGCGGAGGA
Molecule: unclassified non-coding RNA, 389 nt
Filed under: soil metagenome
Description: partial contains 5.8S ribosomal RNA, internal transcribed spacer 2, and large subunit ribosomal RNA
Rfam family: 5.8S ribosomal RNA (bases 1-122)
Source: RNAcentral